AACGAACGCUGGCGGCAUGCCUAACACAUGCAAGUCGAACGAGACCUUCGGGUCUAGUGGCGCACGGGUGCGUAACGCGUGGGAAUCUGCCCUGGGGUGCGGAAUAACUCGGAGAAAUCCGUGCUAAUACCGCAUAAUGUCUUCGGACCAAAGAUUUAUCGCCCUGGGAUGAGCCCGCGUAGGAUUAGCUAGUUGGUGGGUAAAGGCCUACCAAGGCGACGAUCCUUAGCUGGUCUGAGAGGAUGAUCAGCCACACUGGGACUGAGACACGGCCCAGACUCCUACGGGAGGCAGCAGUGGGGAAUAUUGGACAAUGGGCGAAAGCCUGAUCCAGCAAUGCCGCGUGAGUGAUGAAGGCCCUAGGGUUGUAAAGCUCUUUUACCCGGGAUGAUAAUGACAGUACCGGGAGAAUAAGCUCCGGCUAACUCCGUGCCAGCAGCCGCGGU
Molecule: ribosomal RNA, 446 nt
Filed under: uncultured bacterium
Lineage: Bacteria
Description: bacterial SSU rRNA
Rfam family: Bacterial small subunit ribosomal RNA
Source: RNAcentral